Molecule: transfer RNA, 85 nt
Filed under: Myxococcales bacterium
Lineage: Bacteria; Pseudomonadati; Myxococcota; Myxococcia; Myxococcales
Also listed under: 1 other name
Description: tRNA-Leu
Rfam family: tRNA
About the family: Transfer RNA (tRNA) molecules are approximately 80 nucleotides in length.
Source: RNAcentral
ACGAGCGUGGCGGAACUGGUAGACGCGCUGGAUUUAGGUUCCAGUGGGCUUGCCCGUGGGGGUUCGAUUCCCCCCGCUCGUACCA